Molecule: ribosomal RNA, 254 nt
Filed under: uncultured bacterium
Lineage: Bacteria
Description: partial 16S ribosomal RNA
Rfam family: Bacterial small subunit ribosomal RNA
Source: RNAcentral
UACGAAGGGGGCUAGCGUUGCUCGGAAUGACUGGGCGUAAAGGGCGCGUAGGCGGUCAGCACAAGUCAGUUGUGAAAUCUCCGGGCUUAACUCGGAAAGGUCAACUGAUACUGUGCGACUAGAGUGCGGAAGGGGCAACUGGAAUUCUCGGUGUAGCGGUGAAAUGCGCAGAUAUCGGGAGGAACACCAGUAGCGAAGGCGGCACUCUGGGCCGGAACUGACGCUGAGGAGCGAAAGCGUGGGUAGCAAACAGG